AGAGGCGCCCCUGCUAAGGGUGUAGGUCGCGUAAGCGGCGCGAGGGUUCAAAUCCCUCCUUCUCCGCCAUUU
Molecule: transfer RNA, 72 nt
Filed under: Halobacillus sp. BAB-2008
Lineage: Bacteria; Bacillati; Bacillota; Bacilli; Caryophanales; Bacillaceae
Description: tRNA-Glu
Source: RNAcentral